Molecule: long non-coding RNA, 119 nt
Organism: Aedes aegypti (yellow fever mosquito)
Lineage: Eukaryota; Metazoa; Arthropoda; Insecta; Diptera; Culicidae
Exons: 2
Source: RefSeq, a predicted model, not a curated record
UUUAAUUAUUUAUUUUCGAUAUGGAAAUACGUGUUUGGCUGGUUUAGCUCCGUUGCUGGAUCCAUAAUAAUUGACUAUCAUCGGGAGAACCGGAACUGGAAAGUGAGCUGAAUCGUGCC